This 465-nucleotide ribosomal RNA is filed under the name Vreelandella stevensii. Its description in RNAcentral is "partial 16S ribosomal RNA". It matches the Rfam family "Bacterial small subunit ribosomal RNA", at positions 338 to 795 of the family's 1533-position model. The record is from RNAcentral. Lineage: Bacteria; Pseudomonadati; Pseudomonadota; Gammaproteobacteria; Oceanospirillales; Halomonadaceae.
CCUACGGGCGGCUGCAGUGGGGAAUAUUGGACAAUGGGGGGAACCCUGAUCCAGCCAUGCCGCGUGUGUGAAGAAGGCCCUCGGGUUGUAAAGCACUUUCAGUGAGGAAGAACGCCUGGUGGUUAAUACCCAUCAGGAAAGACAUCACUCACAGAAGAAGCACCGGCUAACUCCGUGCCAUCAGCCGCGGUAAUACGGAGGGUGCGAGCGUUAAUCGGAAUUACUGGGCGUAAAGCGCGCGUAGGUGGCUUGAUAAGCCGGUUGUGAAAGCCCCGGGCUCAACCUGGGAACGGCAUCCGGAACUGUCAAGCUAGAGUGCAGGAGAGGAAGGUAGAAUUCCCGGUGUAGCGGUGAAAUGCGUAGAGAUCGGGAGGAAUACCAGUGGCGAAGGCGGCCUUCUGGACUGACACUGACACUGAGGUGCGAAAGCGUGGGUAGCAAACAGGAUUAGAUACCCCAGUAGUC